RNAcentral lists this ribosomal RNA (442 nucleotides) under uncultured bacterium. Its description in RNAcentral is "bacterial SSU rRNA". The stretch from base 114 to 442 matches the Rfam family "Bacterial small subunit ribosomal RNA", at positions 1 to 315 of the family's 1533-position model. The record is from RNAcentral.
GAAGAGAAAGACGCCCUGUGGAAACGCAGGGAGAGCGUCUCGGAUCAUUGACACUAAAUAGAGCAGCAACGUCCAAUUAAAGGGCCCUGAUCACGAAACACAGGAACAAAAUGAAUCUGGAGAGUUUGAUCCUGGCUCAGAACGAACGCUGGCGGCGUGCCUAACACAUGCAAGUCCAACGUGAAAGGGGAGCAAUCCCCCGGUAGGGUGGCAAACGGGUGAGUAAUACAUGGGUGAUCUACCUUAGGGAUGGGGAUAUCCUUCCGAAAGGAGGGGCAAUACCGAAUAUUGUCCGGAGCCAUGAAGGGUUCCGGGGAAAGGGAGGCCUCUGAUACAAGCUUUCGCCUUAAGAUGAGCCCAUGGCCCAUCAGCUAGUUGGUAGGGUAAAGGCCUACCAAGGCUACGACGGGUCGCUGGUCUGAGAGGACGACCAGCCACACUG